This 427-nucleotide ribosomal RNA is filed under the name uncultured bacterium. RNAcentral describes it as "partial 16S ribosomal RNA". It matches the Rfam family "Bacterial small subunit ribosomal RNA", at positions 354 to 796 of the family's 1533-position model. The record is from RNAcentral.
GUGGGGAAUAUUGGGCAAUGGGGGAAACCCUGACCCAGCGACGCCGCGUGAGGGAAGACGGCCUUCGGGUUGUAAACCUCUUUUGUACGGGAAGAAGGAAGUGACGGUACUGUACGAAUAAGUCCCGGCUAACUACGUGCCAGCAGCCGCGGUAAUACGUAGGGGACGAGCGUUGUCCGGAAUUACUGGGCGUAAAGGGCGCGCAGGCUGUGCUGCAAGUCAGCUGUGAAAUGUCUGGGCUUAAACCGGGCAUGCGGUUGAGACUGCAGUGCUGGAGUGCUGUAGAGGCAAGUGGAAUUCCCAGUGUAGCGGUGAAAUGCGUAGAUAUUGGGAAGAACACCGGUGGCGAAGGCGACUUGCUGGGCAGCAACUGACGCUGAGGCGCGAAAGCCAGGGGAGCAAACGGGAUUAGAAACCCGUGUAGUCC